GAUGAACGCUGGCGGCGUGCCUAAUACAUGCAAGUCGAGCGAACGGACGAGAAGCUUGCUUCUCUGAUGUUAGCGGCGGACGGGUGAGUAACACGUGGAUAACCUACCUAUAAGACUGGGAUAACUUCGGGAAACCGGCGCUAAUACCGGAUAAUAUUUUGAACCGCAUGGUUCAAAAGUGAAAGACGGUCUUGCUGGCACUUCUAGAUGGAUCCGCGCUGCAUUAGCUAGUUGGUAAGGUAACGGCUUACCAAGGCAACGAUGCAUAGCCGACCUGAGAGGGUGAUCGGCCACACUGGAACUGAGACACGGUCCAGACUCCUACGGGAGGCAGCAGUAGGGAAUCUUCCGCAAUGGGCGAAAGCCUGACGGAGCAACGCCGCGUGAGUGAUGAAGGUCUUCGGAUCGUAAAACUCUGUUAUUAGGGAAGAACAUAUGUGUAAGUAACUGUGCACAUCUUGACGGUACCUAAUCAGAAAGCCACGGCUAACUACGUG
RNAcentral lists this ribosomal RNA (497 nucleotides) under uncultured bacterium. RNAcentral describes it as "partial 16S ribosomal RNA". It matches the Rfam family "Bacterial small subunit ribosomal RNA", at positions 28 to 507 of the family's 1533-position model. The record is from RNAcentral.